AAGAAGAAUAGGAUCAAAAGAAAAAAAGAAAUGUUUUUUUUAAUUUUGCAACGAAAGAGGACUAAACCUAAGUUUUUUAUUAAUGGGCCUGACAAAAUUUACAAAUCCUGCUCCUACAUAUCUUUGGGGGCAAUACAAAACUCAAGGCUUACGUAGUUCUGGGUAGAAAAUGUUUGUUUGUUGGUCGAUUUUAGUGAAAG
RNAcentral lists this long non-coding RNA (200 nucleotides) under Lathyrus oleraceus (garden pea). RNAcentral describes it as "Pisum sativum (pea) long non-coding RNA (PSAT_LNC041862)". The record is from RNAcentral. Lineage: Eukaryota; Viridiplantae; Streptophyta; Magnoliopsida; Fabales; Fabaceae.